AGUGAACGCUGGCGGUAGGCCUAACACAUGCAAGUCGAACGGCAGCACAGUAAGAGCCUGCUCUUACGGGUGGCGAGUGGCGGACGGGUGAGGAAUACAUCGGAAUCUACUUUUUCGUGGGGGAUAACGUAGGGAAACUUACGCUAAUACCGCAUACGACCUACGGGUGAAAGCAGGGGAUCUUCGGACCUUGCGCGAUUGAAUGAGCCGAUGUCGGAUUAGCUAGUUGGCGGGGUAAAGGCCCACCAAGGCGACGAUCCGUAGCUGGUCUGAGAGGAUGAUCAGCCACACUGGAACUGAGACACGGUCCAGACUCCUACGGGAGGCAGCAGUGGGGAAUAUUGGACAAUGGGCGCAAGCCUGAUCCGGCCAUACCGCGUGGGUGAAGAAGGCCUUCGGGUUGUAAAGCCCUUUUGUUGGGAAAGAAAAGCAGCAGGUUAAUACCCCGCUGUUCUGACGGUACCCAAAGAAUAAGCACCGGCUAACUUCGUG
Molecule: ribosomal RNA, 492 nt
Filed under: uncultured bacterium
Lineage: Bacteria
Description: partial 16S ribosomal RNA
Rfam family: Bacterial small subunit ribosomal RNA
Source: RNAcentral